RNAcentral lists this long non-coding RNA (38450 nucleotides) under Nicotiana tabacum (common tobacco). Its description in RNAcentral is "long non-coding RNA (NTAB_LNC012454)". The record is from RNAcentral. Lineage: Eukaryota; Viridiplantae; Streptophyta; Magnoliopsida; Solanales; Solanaceae.
UAAAAUACCCUUAAGCAAUGAACAUCACUCUUCUUUAGAGGUUUUAGCACAAACAAAAUAUCGACAUGGCAUUUCAACCAAACAGGUGCCUAGGCAGCCUCACACAACCAAUACAAAACACACUAGCAAAAGUUCAUAAGGUCUCAUAACACACUCAGGGAAUUCAAUUACACAGAAGCACCAAUUGAUUCAAAGCAGAAAAUCAUUCUAGGGAGUGAAGUUAUUACUGAGGUGCAAAGUCAUGAAUAAUCAAGGAUUAACACAUACUUGAGUUCUAAACCCAUGAUCAUUAUCAGGCAUAGGUUACACAAGUUUCCAAAAUUUUAAUUGCUUAGAAGGCUUAAAGGUUGAUUCUGAAUCAUUCCAUGUGGCACAUCAUUUACAAAAUACUCAUAAGAGUCACAUAUACAAUCAGGAAAGGGUUGCAAAGCACAAACGAUUGACCAUAUACUCCUAUAAGCAAGUUAUUUAUAAUUUCAGCUUCAAGAAAGUCACACUAAGUAGCUUAAGGCAUUGAAAAUUGGUAAAUACAAACAUAUGCACUCAUUUACUAACUUUACUAAAGGUCCAAUACUUCAUAGGGAACCUAUUAGAUAGAGUUCCCUUUAGGUAGGUUUAAGUUAUUAAAGCAAGUAACAUAAUACUACAGCAGUCUCAGAACAGAACAAGCACAUAGUUGAGAUUUUCAUAUCACACUAAGAAUCUAUGCUAACAACUUACUCGAAAUCGGUCUUAAAGGAGUUACUACUAACAGUGAAAAUACAUGAGAGCAUUAAGAAUGAGUAGAAUGGUCAAAAUUCAGUCUCACUCAUUGAGAAUCAUGUUACUGAUAUGUUGCUUUAUCUUAGAAUAUGGGAAUGUACAAGAAAUUUUGUGGCCUUUGUUCUAUUGGAAAUUUGUCAGUGGUGAUCGUUUCACCACCAUGUGCUGUUAUGACCAUCUUUCCUUGUGAAAUAUCGAUCCUGUGUAUGGGAAGAGCAGUACUUUGAUGCUGGUUUUUGGUUUUAUUUAUCGACAGGACAUUGUUAAUUUCGAACAAAUAUCAUACCUCGGCCGAUGAAAAUAAUUCGAGUUAUUGAGGCCAUGACCCUCCAAUUGACCCUCCAAACCAGGCCUGAAAAUAAACUAGGCGAUGGCGAUAAAUUCAUCGAAAAAGAAAACACGAGAAAUGUUUGAACCAUCAAUUUAGAUGGCGGCACAAUUGGCCACCGUAGUCGCAACCAAGGAGUUUUUCAUUCUCAUGUCUGACAGAAUCAAAAAAUACAUUCGAGCCUCUAAAAACAUUUUCCAAAACUAUUUUCUAAAAAUAUUUCCAAACAAAAAUCAUUUCAAAAUAUGUCAUAUUUAAUUUAUUUUUACUUUAUAUUAUUUUACUAAUAAUUUUGUUUCUCUUAUCUUGUGAGGUAUUGUUAUAUGGAGCCUCUUUCAAAAUAUGAAGCUCGGAGGAAAAAUACAAAGACAAACCCCUGUCAAACCCCCGCUUCGUACUUCCCGUUCUCGAAUGUACUCAAAACGCAUGUAUAGUGAAACGAUAAAUAAAUGUUAUUUUUGCUACUUUACAUAUUUACCUAUUUGUCAAACACUUAGGGUAAAUCACAUCUAGUUAAUAAUCUGGUUAACUCGUAAUGUUGUACAUUAGAUAGUUAGUGAAGUUUGUAUGUAUACAUUUAUGAUGUUGAGUAAUUGUACGACUUGGCUGAUUGAUAAUGAUCGAUAUUGUAGCGAUCUGACUUGUUGUUUUGAGCUUUAGCGUUCCAUUCGGUGAUUUGAGGUCUUUAGUAGCAUCAUAUGAUGUAACACGACUUGUGUGUAUGGUUGGUUUUGAUGUUCAAGAGGUGCGGGAUAGAUUUGGAAGCAAAAAUUUCAUAUAUGGAAGCUUUAAGUUGAAGAGUUGACCAAGGUUUGACUUUUGUAUAAAUGGUCUCGAAUUCCUGUUUUGAGGGUUCCAAUACGUUCGUAAGGUAAUUUUGGACUUACGAGUAUGUUCGUAUUUGGAUUUGGAGGUUCCUAGAUUGAUUUGACUUUUUUGGGCUAAAGUUAACUAUUUGGGGGUUUAGAAAUUUCAUAAGUUUGACCAAAUAUUGACUUUGUGGCUAUCGGGUUUGGAUUGUUGUUCCGGGACUUGUAGUAGGUAUGUUGUCACGACCCAAAAUCUCUCCUUAGGAGUCGUGAUGGCACCACAACAUUUCUGUAACAACAAUUCCAAUACCACAAUCACAUAUAGCCCACGACUCAAUAACACCGAGUAUAAUAAGAAUAACAAUAACACAAGGUACAACAAGUAAAUAAAUACAAGAAUGACAACAAUGCAAUGAAACGGAAGAAUAAGCUCAACGAUGAAAGACAUACAAGUAAUAAUGACUUCAAGUAACAGUAGUUCAACAAUAAAAGAAAUAACAUGUAACACCAACUUCAAAUAAGGAUAAUCAAUUACGGAAGAGAUAACAUGUGACAAUAACUUCAAUUAAGGAUAAUCAACUACGGAAGAGAUAACAUGUAACAAUAACUUCAAUUAAGGAAACGACUAUCGAAGAGAUAACCUGUAACAGUAAAGUGGUAACAAUUACAAUUAAAUCAUGUAAGAGUAUAUUUGGCAGCAAAAGAUAGGACAUGAACCAACAACUUCAAAUAAGGCAUAUAAGAGUGAAUUCAACAAUGGAGGACAUAACAUGAUAGAGCAAUUUCAAUUUAGUGUGCUUAAGAACCCUAAGAGUCUAAACCGAUUAAAUCUCCAUAUACAAAGCCGUGUACACGCUCAUCACCUCGAGUACACGUCUUUCACAUAGUUCAAAUAGCCCAAAUAAACCAAUUCCUACGGGGUAGUUCCCCCCCACAAAGUUAGGCAAGUUACUUACCUCAAAAGCCCUCAAUAAAUAUUCUAAACUAGCUUUUCCUUUACACACCUCCGCUCGGCUUAAAUCUAACCAAAAUCAACUUAAUAACAUCAAAUAAUGCAAGAGAAAUCAAUUCCAAUAAAUAAAACUAUGGUCCUUGCAAAAUUCCUCAAAAGUCAACAAAAGUCAACCCCGGGCUCGUCCGGUCAAAUUCCGGAUCCAAAGGUAAAUUCCGACUACUCAUAACCUCAUGAGUCCAUAUAUGUAUUUUAUUUCAAAAUUUAUAAGGCCCCGUAAAAUUUCACCUAAAACUCGGGGUUUCGUGGCGCCGAGGUAAAAUAAUGUGAUUAAGGGUUGUAGAAAUUCAAGCUCGCCGCGGUACAGACUUUGUGGGUUGUACAGUACGCCGGGGAGCUGAAAGAAUCAUUUUGCAGACAUUACAUUUCUGCGGUCCACUAUGCGAUCGCAGAACCACUUUGUCGGCCGCAGAUCGGCUGCGGAGUGAAGCAGAACGUGAGCUAAUUUUGAAGACCAUUAUGCGGUCCAUUAUGCGGCCUCAUAACUAUUUUGCGGGCCGCAUAAUCCAUCAUAGAACCAGUACGAGAAGACUUCGGAUGGAGGUUCUGCGGUCCAUUAUGCGACCGCAGAUCUAUCGUAGACCUGUCCAUCCCUACCCAGUUUUUGGGACCUUUUCUGCGGUCCCCUUUGCGGUUCACAUACCUAUUUUGCAGUCUGGUCUGCGACCGCAGACCCGGCUUCGUAGAGUUUAAGUUUUGAAAAAUUUCACCCGAUCCCAUUUUUAUAAAAACAACUUGGGGUUUAUUUUGGCUGGUCCUAACUGAUAUUUUAGAGAGAGGAAAGUGGUUUAGAGUGAGAGGGGGAUUCCUAAGCUAAUUGUUCAUCAAUCUUUGCUCAAGACUUGGAGAAUCCACAAGGAAAACUCACAAGAUCUUCAUGCAAGAGGUAAGGUUCCAUACCCUAUUCUUCAAAGUUGUGGGAAGGUUGUUGAGCUCAAAAGGGUAGAUAUUGGGUUCUGGGAUAAAGGAAUCCACCAUAGGAGGACCUUGAAAUCAUAAUGAUAAAAUGCUCAAAUGAGCUGAAACCCCGAGUAUCUUUCUAAUUAUGGUCCAAUUUUGUUAUGUUUCUAAAUAGAUUGAGGUUGCUAGGAAUUCUGGAUCAUUGUAGUACUUAAGGGAUUUCAAAGCGAGGUAUGUUGGCUAAAAUCCUCUUGCAGAAUCGAAUCCAUGAUGUCCUCGUAAGUUGUAAUUAUGAUUGGCUCAAGCUCUUAUGUCUCAUGUUCCGAGUUAUUCCUUAUAAAUUUGACUUUUCCGAAUAAACUCUGUGUCGAAAGAUAUAUGUUCAAAAUGUAUUCCGAAUACUCUUAUCAUAUUGUGUUAUCCUUCGAGAUUGUAUUCAAAUGUGACCAUGUGUCGAAAUAUUAUGAAUUCAAUUAUGUCUCAAUUGCUAGUUAUUAUGCCAAAUUGUGGAAGAAAGCUCAAUGUGCCUAAGACUCUUAUUUGCUCAUAUGUGGACUAAAAGUCAUGAUUAGAGAUGCUUUGUUGUUGAUAAUCUAUGAUGAUGUUUGAAAGUGAAAUGGGUGAUCAUGACAUAUGAAAUACGGCCGACAUGCCAAGAAUGAUAUGACAUGUGUGGCCACUAGUGCUAAUGAAAUGAAAAGAUAGAGUAAAAGACUAUAGAAUAAAGCUAAAAGUCCUUAUAUAAUAANNNNNNNNNNNNNNNNNNNNNNNNNUCCACAUGGCAUUGUGGUGAGACGGCCUAUCCGAUCGGAUCGAGAUCGGACGCCAUGCCGCACACAUGGUGGUGAUUGUGCUUGAGAUUGUGAUUGAGAUAGUGAUUGAGAUUGUGAUUGUGAUUGUGAUUGUGAUUGUGAUUGGAUGUCUUUGGGUGAGACGGCCUAGCCGAUCGGGCCGUGAUCGGACUCCGUGCUAAAGAUAUGGUGGUAUAUCGGUACUAAAGAUCUCCCAACCUAAAAUAAUGUAAUUUACUUGAAAUAUUAUCUUUCUCCUAACUUGAUGUCUUCGUAUUGUUUGAGGCUCUCAUUGAUUCUAUGAUUGUUCUUCCUUGUUUUAUUACUCGUUUAAUUGAGAGGGUGUUUAGUCAUUCAUACUAGAACUAUUCCAUAUGUACUAACGUCCCUUUUGUCGGGGGCGCUGCAUCUUUAAUGGCUGCAGGUGGUUCCACAGCAGGCAGCUUUGAUCAGUGAUAGCGGUACACCCUCUUCCCAGCUGACUUUUCGGGGUCGUGUAUCUUUUGUUCCUUGUGCAUUAUGUUUUGAGGUAUAGCCCGGGCCUUGUUGCCGGCACUACCGUAGUACUCUUUUGUAUCUAUUAGAAGCACGUAGAUAUAGUGUGGGUUGUAUGUUGGUGUUGGGAAAGUCAAACUAGUAAUGUUGUAUUUGUACCACCUGUUCCACUCAAACUAUGAAAGUGUAUGUAUUUUGAGAACUUAUAAAUGAUAUAACUAAUGGUAAUGGAUUGGUGUAGCUCACAUGAUCUUCUCCUGGUCUAAUUAAUGAAAUAGAUCUUCUCUUUAUUCAUGGGUUAGUUCGGGUAGGAGGUAUUGUGCAGGCUUUCUUGGCCGGGUUAUCUCGGUUGAGCGCCAGUUGCGCUCCCCGAGGUCGGGGCGUGACAAAAUCCGAGUCCAAAUCGACUCUCAAAACUCAAAUUCUCAUUUUUCAAAAUAUAGACAAAGUUUCUCAAAAUUUCACUUUGUUUCUCAUAAUUUUGAUGUUAAAGCUGACAUAUAAUCAUGUAAAAUAGUUGGAAAUUGAUCAAAAUCACUUACCCAAUGAUUGUAGAUGAAAAUCCCUCUUCAAAAUUGCCUCAUACCGAGUCUAGGGGUUCCAAAAUAUGAAAAUAAGAUCAAAAUCCGGUCCUUGAGCUUAUAUGUCUAGUCGCAGGUUUAUUCAAUGCGACUUGGGGUCGCAAAUGCAAACCCCGCAAUUGCAAAGAAAGUUUGCAAAUGCAACAAUCAUCACACCCCUGCUACAGUCGCAAAGGCGACAUUAAAUUCGCAAAUGCGAACCAAAGACACUUCGCAAAAAGCGACCUAUCUGAUCGCAAAUGCGAACAAGCUUACCCAGGUCCCCUCAUCGCAAAUGUGAACUCUAGGUUUGCAAAUGCGAACCUAGCAUACGUAAGCCUAAUAUCCCAAAUGCGACCCCUAUAUCGCAAAUAUGAGACCUGAAGCACCUGUUCAACACUAGCAAAACUAAAACUCUUUCAAACACUCCGAAACGCGUCUGAAACUCAACCGAGCCCUCGGGGCUCCAAACCAAACAUCAGUACCAGUAUGAAAACAUAACAUGAACUCGCUCGCAUGAUCAAAUCAUAAAAAUAACAUCCACAACCACGAAUUAGACCUCCAAAAUAUAUAAAAUCAACAUGAAACUCAAGAACUUCUGAAAACACAAUCGCGCGUCCGAUUCCUAUCAAAUCAAUUCGGAAUGAUGUCAAACUUUGUAGACAAGUUUCAAAUAGCAACAUGGACCCAUUUCAAGUCCCGAAAUAAAAAUCCAACCACAAUAGCUAUGAAGUCAACCUACAGAUAAACUUAUCAAAAUUCUAAGAUUUUAAAUUGCCAACGUUUGGCAAAACAACACAAAUCAACUUACGGACCUCCGAAUUCAAUUUUGGGCAUACACCCAAGUCCAAAAUCAUGAUACUAACCUACCAGAAUAAUGAAAACACUGUUCCGGGCUCAUUUUCACAAAAGUCAAACCUCGGCCAAUAUUUCCAACUUAAGCUUCUAAAGUGAGAACCACUCAUCCAAAUUCUUCCCGAGAUAUCUGAAAUUCAAAUCCGACCAUGCACACAAGUCAUAAUAUACAAUAUGAAGCCACUCAAGACCUCGAACCAGUAAAUGGAACCUUAAGACACAAAAUGACCGAUCGAGUCGUUAUAUCCGUUUUAUUAUUUACAACUUGUGUGCAAAUGUUUGGUGUCAUCCCAAGUUGGUUUGGUAAGAAUCAAACGCUUGAUUGUGAAUAUUGACGUUCUUGAGUUUCAUAACUUGCAUGAUGCAUUUUGGUCUUCAAUUUAUGGCUUUAUAUGUUAUUUUAAUGAUCCGAGCACGCAAGCGAGUUCGUAUGAGGUUUAUGUACUUGUUGGUAUGAUUGAUCAGGGUCCCACGGGGCUCGGAUGAGUUACAUGAUGAAUUCAUAUGGUUUAUACUGUAACGACACGGCCGGUCAUUUUGAGUAUUGCAACCUCAUUUCCCCAUUUAUUGCUUAUUUUAUGUUUGUUUGUUGUUAUGUGACUUAUCGGGGUAGUUGGUUUAGUUCCGGGGAUGUUUUAGAAUGAAUUGGGACACUUAGUCUCAAGGUUGGAAGCCUAAGUUGAAAGAGUUAACCUUAUAUUGACUUAUAUGUAAAUGACUCCGGAAUGGAGUUUUGAUGAUUUUGAUAGCUUUGUAUGGUAAUUUUGGACUUAGGAAUGUGUCCAGAUAUUGAUUUGGAGGUCCGUAGGUGAUUUUGGCUUGAAUUGGCGAAAGUUGGAAAAGUUGAAGUUUGGAGAGUUGAAAUGUUUGACCGAGAGUUGACUUUGUGGUUAUCGGCCUUCGAUUUUUGUUUCGAAAGUUGGAAUAGGUCUGUUGUAUCAUUUGUGACUUGUAUACAAAAUUUGGGGUUUAACGGAGUUGAUUUGGUGUAUUGCGACAUUGGUUUUAGAAGUUGGAAGUUCAAUAGUUCACUAGGCUUGAAUUGGGACGCGAUUUGUGUUUUCGAUGUUGUUUGAUGUUAUUUGAGGGUUAAACUAAGUUUAUAUAAUAUUUUAGGAUGUGUUGGCAUGUUUGGGUGGGGUCCCGGGGCCUCAGGUAAGUUUCAGGUUGAUUGCAGAUUGAGUUUGGCCUUGUACAGCUGCAAAUUUUCUGGUAUCUAGUUUCCUUAUACAUGUUCGCAAGAGAGGUAUCGCAUUCUCAAAGAGUAUCUAGGUGGCAGGUGAAGUUUUUUCUUUGCGUUCGCGAAGAAGGCCAUGCGUUCGCGAAGGUACAAUGUGUUUGUGCAUAGAAGGAUGAGCUAUGUGGGGCACCAGGCAUGUAAGCCUUCGCGUUCGCAGGAGUUGGUUUGCGUUCACGUAGGCUUGUGUUCAUUGGUCAUCGCGAUUGCGAGGGAGGUAUCGCGUUCGCGUAGGAGGGUUUUGGGCAGCUGAAGAUUUUGUACUUCGCGAACGCGAGGCACUUUCCGCAUUUGCGAAGGACAUCUGGGCAGCUGAUAUUUAAUUUCAAAAUCAAUGGUUUGGACCCAUUUUUCAUAUUUUGAUCUAGAGACCUCGGUUUUGGGUGAUUCUUGAAGGGAUUUUAAAGGAGUUGAUUGGGGUAAGUGAUUCUAACUCGGAUUUGGUUAAUAUACAUGAAUCUAUAAUUGUUUUUACCAUUUAAUUAGUGUUUGGGGUUGGAAAAAUUGUGGAAAAUUGUAGAAACUUCAUAAACUAUAUUUUGAGGAUUUGAAAGGCGAUUUUGAGGUCGGAAUUGGAUGAUUUUGGUAUGGUUGGACUCGUUAUUAAGUGAGUAUUUGGAUUUUAUAAAUUUUAUCGGAUUCCGAGACGUGGGCCUGGGGUUGGAUUUUCGGGUUGACUUUUUGACUUUGGUUAAAGAACUUAGCUUCAUCAUAUGGAAUCGAUUCCUAUUGCUUGUAUUGAUUGUACUAAGUUAUUUGUGGGUAGAUUCAAGUCGUUCAGAGGUCGAUUCGCGAGGCAAAGGCUUGUUGGAGCAGGGAUUUAUGCGGUUUGAGGUAAGUAACACUUCUAAACUUGGUACUGGGGUUAUGAAUCCCUGAACUACGUGUUAUGUAGUUGGUGUUGAGGUGACGCACAUACUAGGUGACAGGCGUGUGGGCGUGCACCAUGGUAAUUGUGACUUAGUUGAUUCCGUGGUACUAUGUAGUUAUCCAAUCUUGUUGAUAUUCAUGUGAUCUCCAUGUGUUAGGGAAAUUGAGAUAUGAUCCAUGCUAGAAAUCAUGUUUAGGCUAUAUGCUGACACUGUUGGGAUCCACUGAGGUCAUUUCUACUGUUGAGUUAUUUGCUUAAAUUGCAAUUAUGUACUCCGUCACAUUCAUUAUUUGCAUAUCAUAUCUCAGUCUCUGUUAUUAUUUAUUGUUACAUCAUGUAUCAUUGUUUGCGCUGAUUGGCAUGAGAUUUGUGAGCCCGAAUGAUUGGAGAGAUUGAUGACUGAGUGAGGCCGAGGGCCUGAUUGUGAGUGAUAUUUAUGGAAUCGGGCUGCACGCCGCAACAUACCAUGUUGGAUUAUAUUAGCUGUAAUGACCCGACCGGUCAUUUUGAGCUCUAGCGCAUCGUUCAGCGGUUUGAGGCCUUGAGUAGCUUCACUUCAUGUUUUAUGACUUGUGCGUGUGGUCGGAAUUGAAUCUCGGGAAGUUCGGAGUUGAUUUGGAAAGAAAAUUCUAAAUUCGGAAGCUUUAAGCUUGAAGGAUUGACUAAGGUUUGACUUUUGAGUAAACAACAUCAGAAUCAGGAUUUUAAGGUUCCAAUAGGUUCGUAUGUUAAUUUCGGAUGUGGGCGUAUGUUCGGGUUGAGUAUCGGGUGGCCCAGAAGCAUUUCAGCGCUUAUUGUAGAAAGUUGGCAUUUUUGAAAGUUUUGGAAUUUCAUAAGUUUGGUUUGAAGUGGAUUUUGAUGUUAUCGAUGUCCACUUGAGGUUCCGAGCAUGGGAAUAGGUUCGUAUUGUGAUUUGUGACUUGUGCGUAAAAUUUGAAGUCAUUCCGGAUUGAUUUGGUACGUUUCGGCACAAGAUAUAGAAUUUGGAAAUUUGAAAAUUUAUAAGUUGAUUUGAGGUGCGAUUCAUAAUUUCAACAUUGUUUGGCGUGAUUUGAGGCCUCGACUAAGUUCGUAUUGAAUUUUGGGACGUGUUGGUAUAUCUGGUUAAGGUCCCAAGGGCCUCGGGUGAAUUUCGGAUGGUUAACGAAUCGAUUUUAGACUAAGGAAAUGCUGGAAUUUUUCUGGUUGCUGGUGCGAUCGCUUCUGCGGAAGUUGGGUCUUAGAAGUGACAUUGCAGAAGUGAGGAUCACGUCACAGAAGCGAGGAUCGUGUCGCAGAAGCGAAGAAGGCUGGCUGGGAAAGGCUUCACAGAAGCGAAAAAUGGAACGCUUCUGCGGCUUCACAGAAGCGACAGAGUGGUCGCAUAAGCGAGCUGGAGCGCAUAUGCGGCUAUGGCUUCGCACCUGUGGUUGCACAGAAGUGGAAAGGAGUCCGUUGGUGCGAUGGGACUGCUGACCCAUGGACUCCACAGAUACGCAUUUGUCAUCGUAGAAGCGACUUCGUAGAUGCGAAGAUUUUGUCCGCACAAGCGGAAACUGGGCAGAACAUAAGGGAUCGAACUUGGUCAUUUCGUCAUUUUCAUUUGGGAUUUUUGGAGCGCGGUUCCUGGGUGAUUUUGAGGAGUUUUCAUCAUGCAACACUAGGUAAGUAAUUUCCCACUUGUUGUGAGCUAAAUGUAAGGUUUAUAUGUGGAUUUAAGGAGGAAAAUUUAGGAAAAUUGUUUGAUUUUAUCAGAAAAACCUAGAAUUGGUAAUUUUGGAUUUUGAUCACGAUUUUGGAAAUAGAAUUAGGAAUAAAUUAUAUAUUUGAGUUUGUUAUGUUAUGGGUAAAGUUUAUCUUCGAGAAAUUUCGGAAUCCGGUCACGUGGGCCUGAGAGUUGAUUUUUAUUGACUUUUCGAACGAAGUGGGGAAUUGUUAUAAAUUGAUUAAUUAUGGGUAAUAGAGUAUAUAUUUAUGGAUUUGCACAUUGUUUGACUAGUUUGGGAUCGACGAGCAUCGGUUUGAGGUGCUAAAGAGCCUUUUGAGCCGGUUAUGGAACUUCAGAGCGAGGUAAGUCUCCUGUCUAACCUUGUGAGGGGGAAACUACCACCUAGGUGAUAUUUAUUGUUAUGUGCAACUCAUUGUGGGUGCUACGUACGCACGAAAUGACGAGAUUCCAUAUGUAGCUAAAGUAUGUUUAUNNNNNNNNNNNNNNNNNNNNNNNNNNNNNNNNNNNNNNNNNNNNNNNNNNNNNNNNNNNNNNNNNNNNNNNNNNNNNNNNNNNNNNNNNNNNNNNNNNNNNNNNNNNNNNNNNNNNNNNNNNNNNNNNNNNNNNNNNNNNNNNNNNNNNNNNNNNNNNNNNNNNNNNNNNNNNNNNNNNNNNNNNNNNNNNNNNNNNNNNNNNNNNNNNNNNNNNNNNNNNNNNNNNNNNNNNNNNNNNNNNNNNNNNNNNNNNNNNNNNNNNNNNNNNNNNNNNNNNNNNNNNNNNNNNNNNNNNNNNNNNNNNNNNNNNNNNNNNNNNNNNNNNNNNNNNNNNNNNNNNNNNNNNNNNNNNNNNNNNNNNNNNNNNNNNNNNNNNNNNNNNNNNNNNNNNNNNNNNNNNNNNNNNNNNNNNNNNNNNNNNNNNNNNNNNNNNNNNNNNNNNNNNNNNNNNNNNNNNNNNNNNNNNNNNNNNNNNNNNNNNNNNNNNNNNNNNNNNNNNNNNNNNNNNNNNNNNNNNNNNNNNNNNNNNNNNNNNNNNNNNNNNNNNNNNNNNNNNNNNNNNNNNNNNNNNNNNNNNNNNNNNNNNNNNNNNNNNNNNNNNNNNNNNNNNNNNNNNNNNNNNNNNNNNNNNNNNNNNNNNNNNNNNNNNNNNNNNNNNNNNNNNNNNNNNNNNNNNNNNNNNNNNNNNNNNNNNNNNNNNNNNNNNNNNNNNNNNNNNNNNNNNNNNNNNNNNNNNNNNNNNNNNNNNNNNNNNNNNNNNNNNNNNNNNNNNNNNNNNNNNNNNNNNNNNNNNNNNNNNNNNNNNNNNNNNNNNNNNNNNNNNNNNNNNNNNNNNNNNNNNNNNNNNNNNNNNNNNNNNNNNNNNNNNNNNNNNNNNNNNNNNNNNNNNNNNNNNNNNNNNNNNNNNNNNNNNNNNNNNNNNNNNNNNNNNNNNNNNNNNNNNNNNNNNNNNNNNNNNNNNNNNNNNNNNNNNNNNNNNNNNNNNNNNNNNNNNNNNNNNNNNNNNNNNNNNNNNNNNNNNNNNNNNNNNNNNNNNNNNNNNNNNNNNNNNNNNNNNNNNNNNNNNNNNNNNNNNNNNNNNNNNNNNNNNNNNNNNNNNNNNNNNNNNNNNNNNNNNNNNNNNNNNNNNNNNNNNNNNNNNNNNNNNNNNNNNNNNNNNNNNNNNNNNNNNNNNNNNNNNNNNNNNNNNNNNNNNNNNNNNNNNNNNNNNNNNNNNNNNNNNNNNNNNNNNNNNNNNNNNNNNNNNNNNNNNNNNNNNNNNNNNNNNNNNNNNNNNNNNNNNNNNNNNNNNNNNNNNNNNNNNNNNNNNNNNNNNNNNNNNNNNNNNNNNNNNNNNNNNNNNNNNNNAUAAAAUAGGCCGAGCCUUAAACACUUGAGUUGUGGGCGAGUUAUUUGAGAAACGGUAAAGAUUAUAUUUGUUCUAUGCUCAUGUACUGUAUUGUAAACACGUGUCUCGUAAUUCGGUAAGUUCCUUCCUUUCUUAUUGAGCGGGCCGAAUGCCUCAGCAAUAUAAUAGAUGCAUCUAUGGUUCGUGUCGUUCGACCCUCGGCAGUGAACACAUUAUUCUGGAUCGGGCCAAACGACCUCGGCAGAAUCAUGCAUUAUAUCGCUUGUAGUCCGAAUAUUCACGAGAUAAACCUUCCACAGAUGCUCGUUAUUUUUAUGGUAUUACUUAUUUAUUUGGUAUUGACACUUGGCAUUUUCCGAGAUAUUACGUUAGAAUACAAGAUCGAAAAAUUUAUACUUUAAAAGAAAUAUUUGAAAGAUUAUAAAAUUUACAGAUUUACCCCACUAUUGAUGUGCACUUCAUAUAUGAUAUGAGUUUUUAUAUUGUUUUAUUGGACCUCCAGUAAGUAUCGAUGUCGACCCCUCGUCACUACUUCUCCGGGGUUAGGCUAGAUACUUACUGGGUAUGCGUUGAUUUACGUACUCAUACUGCACUUCUACACUAAAUGUGCAGGAUCUGACAGGUUCCUUUGGUGAUCAUCUUGGCGUGUAGGCGCAUCCGUUGAGGAGAAUUUAUGUGAGCUGCAAUUCAGGCUACGCAUCGCUGUCCACCGAGUCUCCAUUGUACUAUUUAUUUUAUCUUGUCUUAUUUACAUUCUGGACAGAUGUUGUAUUAUUAUUGUACUCCUUAGAAAAUGCUCAUGCACUUGUGAUACCGGGUUUUGGGGGUUCCUACAGGUUGUUCAUUAUUGUAGUACCCUAAAAAUUCUAUUUCAUACUAUUUAAUUAAUGAAAAUUAUGAUUUUAAAAUACUAAAAUGAGUAAUUAGGUUUAUCAAUUACCGUUGGCUUGCCUGAUGGCGGUGUUAGGCGUCAUCACAACCUUUAGUGGAUUUUGGGUCGUGACAGCUUGGUAUCAGAGCGUUAGGUUCACUUAGGUCUCACGAGUCAUGAGCAAGUCUAGUAGAUUCUUGCGGAUUGGUACGGGGACGUCUGUACUUAUCUUCGAGAGGCUACAUGGAUGUUAGGAGCACUUCCCUUCUUGAUUCCUCAUCAUGCGAUUUGAUUCCAUUGAAGCUUGUGCCUUUAUUUCCUUCCUACUCAAUCUUACAUGACGUGGGGCGCUUGUUAUUAGUUGGGCGUCGAGGAGUUAUAGUGGUACUGCAGACGUGGUGCAAGAUGUUUUUCCCUACGUGUUUGGGAAGGCUAUUAUCGUCGCCUUGCAGAAGGAUGUUCUGUUGUUUCGUCUCAGUAUCUGUAUUCCAUAUGGUUUUGAGACUGUGCACAGAUUGCUAUGAUGUCUAUGCGUUGUUAUCGCACAAUGUUGGUGUAAUGGUAGGGUGCUUGUUUAUGUGUCGAGGCAGUGAAUGACUUGAAAGGAGGAUUUCUCAAUGCAUGAUUUAGAGGUUCAACAUUUAAUCCCAGUGAAGGAAAGGCAAUCGAACUAUAGAUGUCCAAGUUUGGUUGAUGAAGUAACGAGAGUUGAUAUUUUGAGUGUGGUGGAAUUCUCAUUCGUGAUGUGGUGCCGCCUUCCUUGUUUGAACGCAUUAAGGUUCGUUGGUGUUAUAAUUUUCUUCAAUUUUUGCCUUCGGGGCAGGGUGUUGUGAAGUGGUGCCUAAGAAGUGGUUGUCAGAGAUAGCAGAGUGUAGCGGUUUCAGAAUCAAAUUGGUAUAUCUAAAGUUGAUGGCUCAAGAAAGAUGAUCUUCUAGGAGUUUUAGAGUUGGUAGCAGUUCAUUAGUUCAGGUGCUACAUGUAUGGUCUUGAUUUGGGGCAAUAUUUGGACAGCGAAGGAUGAGGAAGGACAUGGCGGGGGGUGUCUCGUGAUGGUCAAAUUACUAGCAGGUCAAGUAUGAAGAGAAGAGGUCGAGAAGUUGCUUAAAGGAGGUGGUUUAACCGAUGUGGGAGUGCUAGAGUAGCAUAUGGAUUCUGCGGUAGGAAAGCCACUUGCCUUGAGGAAAGCUUAGAGAGAUUUGGGAAUCAUGGUGGAUAAUGGCUAAGCCUAUGCAUUUCAUUUGGGAUGGUGGCUGCUGUACGAAGAAAGAUUGAGUAUGGCAGAAAGGCAUUUGCUUGAAAUGAAGAGGGGUGUGAAGAUUUGAUUAUCAUUUCGGAUGUAACAUGACUUUGAGUUUGGAAGGUAUUGUUGGACUUUCAAUUGAUGUCAAUGGGGAAGGAACAUGCUUGUACAGCUGGUGGACGAGCAUGGGCUCAGGAGGGUUUACUGAACUCGUGGUAGUUGUACCCGGUGAAGUGUCAUUGGAAGAUGUCAACAUGGAAUACCAUAUGUGGGUUAUCUCCUGUGAACAGGUUAUCGGUUGCGUGAUUUUGAUGAGGUUUCUACGAAGAGUUCUACUAAGUACCCAAUAGAAGGUCGAGUAUGCGAUCGUGGCCGAUAAUUCAGAAUGUUUCAUGAAAAGCUUAACAAAAGACUUCGAGAAAUUUGGCGAGUUAACUGUGCGAGAUCAUGGUAAUUGAGAAGGAGGAAUCGUUGUGGGCUCUACAUUAUGUGAUGGGAGGUUAAAGCUAAGUGGGGGAGCCCACCGUCUGCGAUUGGAUCGUGUGGUUGUCUACUUGUGCAGUUUCUGGUUAUCGAUGCAUUGGUGGAUUAUUUAUGACUAAGAAAAGAAAAUAUCAGGAGUAAUUCGAUCAAGGAACUUGAUGAAUGUGUGCUAUACUUUUCCUUAUCAAUUAACGUACAGGUUUUGGGAAGACUCAGAGUUUAUGCUUCUUGUGGAUGUAAUGUACAAGGAAAAGAAUUCAGCCGGCUGCUUCUUUGAGAGGGUAUUCCUGUGCUAGCAGAGCAUUGAAGUUUGGUUAUAUUUGGGAUCAGGUAAGAGUGGGUGACUCUCAACAAUGGUCCUAGUGGGUUCAAGAAUUAAAAUGCAGUGCCUAAGGAUUUCAGGUCCGUUGUGCGGUUAAGGAUCAAGUUUUCAUAAUGGAUUAUGAACGGGACUUGGAAUGUUCUAUGUUAUCAUCGGGUAUGCAGUGCAGUAUUGGAGGAAAGGAAGAAAUAACUUUGGAUUCGCGGAAGGUCUUGCAGAAUGGGUGUACUAGUUGGAGAUGCUAUUGUGCGCAUAAGGAGAGUAUGAGAUGGUUCAUGAGUAUUGAGAUGAUGUGGUCUCAUGAUGCGGGUCACUAUGGAUGAGUACGGCUUUGGUUUGUUACAUUUGUGAAUGGAUCUAUUAUUAUUUUAAGGCAAGUCGAGAGUAAAUUGGAAGAAGUUGGGUUGGUUAGUAAUGAUUGAAUUAGCAUGAUUGUGGCAAAGAUCAGUUCCUUCAGCGUGUGAAGUUAUACAUGUGGUUUGUGGUUGUACGCGCGGGCUUGACAGCCACCACAACUUGAUUGAUUUGGGAAGUAUUUGAUUCAAAUGGCCUUGUGGUGUAAAUGGAUUACGGAGGAGUCAUGGCGGUUUAGAUCAUGACUUGAGGUUUGUAUUUUAUGCGGUUUGGGAAUUUAGUUGCGUGUUGCAUUGGCUCUUCUGAAAUGAGCUAAGUGAAAGGUUUCUUGCUAAUGAAGUGUUUAUUCUACUGGUAGUUCAGGGGUUAUGAUGAAUUCGUGUAUUCUCGCGUAGCGGCAUGAUAGGUGCAGUGAGCGGCAUGGAAACUUGAAAGCUGAGGAUCAAGGUUGCAGUUCGGUGCUGACAAUAAUGUCACGAGCUCGGAUAAGCAGGGGAGAAUUCAGAUGUUUAGAGUAAACUGACAUUUCCUUUAGUGUCACCUGAGAACGGUGUCCUGUGUAAGAGGCUUUGUGUAUUGAUUUGCGAACUCUUGGUUGGCCUUACAGAAUUAGCACUGUUGGUGGUAUGGAGGUGCAGACCUUGCUACCUGGUACGAAAGGUCGUGGGAGCGUAUCCCAUGGGGAAAUUGUAUAAGUGUGACAUAUUAGUCACUUGAUUGUUAAAGAUUGAAACCAAGUAUGGAGAUUCUGGUACUGUCGCUAAUGUGAGAGUUUAUGCCUGGAAGGCGCCCUAGUCCUUUGGUUGUGAACCGUGGGAGUUUGUUCCGGAUUGAGAUGACUUGGUUAUUCGCACAUGUGUUGUGGUCCCGUGUAGCUUGUGGUAUUAUAUGAACAGGAUGGCUCUCGAGAUGCAGAUCAUAUAUCGCACCUUAGUUGUGCUUGGGUUUUGUAGCGUAUGGUGCUAUCCGUCUCCCCAGGAUUUGUAUUGUGCACUUAGCGUGCUUGUGGCCGAUGUUCGGGCAUUUUGUAAGUAGAAGCGUUACGGCUUGAUGUGUGUGUUUUCUUCUUGAUUGUUAUGUGCGGAUCGGGUGGCACGCCGCCACGGGUAUAUUGUUUGGAUCGGGUGGCACGUCGCCACAGGCAUGUUGUGUGGAUCGGGUUACAUGCCGCAAAAGUGUCAUAUUGGAUCGGGUUGCACGCUGCAACAGUGAGAUGUUGAGCAUAGUUCCUUACACUUAUUUUGUGCGCCUUGUUUUCAUAGCAUCUAUUCGGCCAUUUUAUUUGUUACGCAGGCUGGGUAAUUCCCUGUCAGAGUUAGUUUUUCCUUAUGAGUUAUAUUCAAGUGGUGGCUUGUUGGCGCUUUGAUGGUGCUAUAUAAGAUCUUGGUCAGUGUUUGAGGUGACUCAUUGCCUGAGCAGUUUGUACUGGGUGAAACAAGAUUAUUGGACCUGAAAUUAGUGCAAUCAGAUUCAUAUAAGGUACAUUAAAGAGAAAUUAUCGUUAUUCAGUUCAGAAUGAGGUAAUGGUUCUUAUCAGGAGGAGAGACUCCAUGAUUUAUUUAUUUGUCAGGAGGUUAUGAGUUUCUACAUGUCUCUUUCAUCGUGGAAGUAUUGCGAGAAUUCGAACAGAGCUGACAUGUGUUAUGAGGCGUGUUGCGGGCAUCAGAUUCGUAAGAUUUCAGCUGUUGUGGUCGGAGGAUGUAUUAUGGGCAUGUGAAUUAUGCGGUGCAUGGUGUGAAUUCAGCAAAGGUGUACGAUCAUGUUUUGGUACAGUGUGUAGUGAUUGAUACGGUGUUCGUAUGUUAGAAUCCGAUUUUGUAGAGAAAUUCGGAGGUUGGAAUUUUGUUUUAAGGCUUUUCGACUAAAUAGAAGGGAGAAUCUUCAGUCUGGCUCUAGCUAAUGUGUUCAACUGGGUUGUGGUGGCACGGGAAGGUGAACGAGGUGUUAAACAGUGAUUUUGGACAACUCCAGAGUAGUUCCUAGCACGUUCGAGGACGAACGUAUAGCACCCCGAAACAUUUCGAAGUACUUAAGCGCUAUUAAGGAAGUUGAUGGGUGCUAAUUAUAUUAUUUUGUGUGCAGAAGAGGGAUAUUAAUAUGAUGGAUAUCAAUUGGAUAUGAUAAUAAGUGUACGAGGCAUAUUAUAAGUGAUGUGGGGUCUAAGGAUAGGCCUAAGUCUAAGCCAAGUUGGAAAAUUACAUGAUAGACUAAAGUUCCAAAUGAGUACGGACAAGAUCAAACUUUGGACGCGCAUAUCUACAUAUAUAUAAAGAUUUGUGUGAUGAACAACCUAUCAAAUUAAAGAUCUUCGAGUCUAGUUUUCAACGCUUCAAAUCGUUCGUCAUUUGGACACUCCUACAAGAAGUUAUGACCAAAUUACCAAAGAUUGGCAGAAGGUGACACUACCGCGCCGCCCCAUGCGGCGCCCCAUGUGGCGCGCCUGUGGGGAUUUCCAGAACACUUCAAAAUUUCAUUUCUAGGCACAUUUUUCACUACCAGGCUGCGCCCCGUGGCACCCCAUGCAGCGCGCUAUGCAAAUUUCAGGGUUUUUACGACCCGACCCCAUUUUAAUAAAUAGCCUUUGGGGCUUAUUUUUGGGCGAUUAUCUGAUGAUUUUAGAGAGAAGUGAGAGUGUUUUAGAGAGAGGAAGAAGCUCAAGUGCUAUGUUCAUCAAGAUCUUGUCCAAGCUUUGAAAUCCAACAAGAAAAUCUCACAAGUUCUUCAUCUAAGAGGUAAGGUUUCAUACCCUAGUUUUCAAUUUCGAAUUUGGGUAGAAGAUGUUUGAUUGAGAGUAUGUUUCUUGGGUGUAAGAGUAUUAUUUUUACAUGCAUGUACCAAUAAGAUUUCUGGGAAGAUUGUUGAGCUCAAAUAAGUAAAGAUUGGGUUGUGGAAUGAAGGAAAUCUUGUAGAAGAACCUUGUAGUCAAAUUUGCACACCAAGUGUUUGAUGAAAUGCUCAAAUGAGCUGAAACCAUGAAUAUCUUCCUAAUUUGUGUUCAAUAUUGUUGUGUCUCAAAAUAGAUUGGGAUUGCUAGGAUUUCCGAAAUAUUGUAGUAAUUUAAGGAAAGCUCAAAGCGAGGUAUGUUGUCUAAACUACUCUUUUAGAAAUGAAUUCCAUGAUCUUCCCGUAAGUUUCAAGUAUUGUUGGCUCAAUUUCCUAAUUUCCAUGUUUCGAGUUGUUCCUAAUAAAUUCGAUUAUCCCUAGUAAGCAAAGUGUUGAAAGAUGUAUGAAUUCAAAAUGUGUUCUGAAUGUUCCUAUCACAUUAUGUUAUCCUUCGGUAAUGUGCUCAAGAAUGAUAUGUAUACUAAAAUGUUAUGGCUUUGAGUCGUGUUUCAAACUAAAGCCAGUAUGCCAACUUGUGUGAGAAAAACUUGAUAUGCUUAAUACUCUUAAUUACUCAUAUGUGUACCUAAAUUCUUGAUUGAAAAUGUCUUAUUAUUGAUAAUCUAUAAAGAUGGUUGGAAGUGAAAUCAGUGAAUUGGGGAUAUAAAGUGUGGCCAACGCGCCAAGAGUGAAAGUUAUACUUGUGGACAAUGGUGCUAAUGAAAUGAGAUGAUGUGAGAAAGAUUAUGAAAUGAGCUUUGAUUCAACUGUUCCAAAAUUGACUUCGAAAAUAGAAUUGCCUAAAAGCUUAUGAACUCAAGUGAUGCCCGUAUGUGGCUGUUAUAACUAAUGUUAUGCUUUGUAAGUAGUUUCGAUGUGUUUUGCGUUCUUACAUAUUCGUGAGUUGAAAUUGUGUAUUUUCCUUUUUGGGGAAAAGUAUUUCAAGAAUAAAUAAUGUGUUACUUGGUUAUGAUUUUAAUUUGUGCUUCGAUUGCCAAUCAUUUUACUCCAUUUCUUGGAAAGAAAUCUAUUGUGUUUAAAGCCUUCAUUACUAAUGAACCUAAAGUUGUGAUUUCCAGAAUAUUCUAUUUAUUGAUAUUUAUGAUGAUGAUCCAUGAAAGAGAAGAAAUGAAAGUGUGGAAUAUGAAAUACGGCCAUUGUGCCAUGAAUGAAGAAUCAUAUGUAUGGCCAAGAGAGCCAAUGAAAUAAUGAUGUUGAAAAUUGUUGAAAGUGCCAAUGAAGAUAUACGAUAUAAAAGGUUAUGAGGUAAAUGCAUUUGUAUUGUUGUUUCGUUUUAUUCAAAUCAAUAAUAUUUUUGGGAGUAUUGAUAGUCACCGAGGAAGGGUAGGUUGAAAUAACCUAACCCCGAAACUACACGUGCCGGUGUAGGAGUGGAUUGUGAUUAUUCCCCUUAUUUGGGAUGACGAUUGAUGUGAUAAAAUUAUUUCCUUAAUUGGGAUGAGAUGAUUGAUAGAAAUGGAGGAUGUCGAUCCACACGNNNNNNNNNNNNNNNNNNNNNNNNNNNNNNNNNNNNNNNNNNNNNNNNNNNNNNNNNNNNNNNNNNNNNNNNNNNNNNNNNNNNNNNNNNNNNNNNNNNNNNNNNNNNNNNNNNNNNNNNNNNNNNNNNNNNNNNNNNNNNNNNNNNNNNNNNNNNNNNNNNNNNNNNNNNNNNNNNNNNNNNNNNNNNNNNNNNNNNNNNNNNNNNNNNNNNNNNNNNNNNNNNNNNNNNNNNNNNNNNNNNNNNNNNNNNNNNNNNNNNNNNNNNNNNNNNNNNNNNNNNNNNNNNNNNNNNNNNNNNNNNNNNNNNNNNNNNNNNNNNNNNNNNNNNNNNNNNNNNNNNNNNNNNNNNNNNNNNNNNNNNNNNNNNNNAGGUUUUGGUGAGCCCUACUCUAUUCCAGGCUUUAUGUCAUCUGACGUUGUAUUUUGUACUAUGGGGUAUAGCCGGGACCUUGUCGCCGACAUUUCCAUUCUUCACUUCUGUUGUACUUAGAGGCUUCAUAGACAGGUUGUGGCUUGUAGUCGAUGUUGGGAAUUGAACUAGAAAUGUUGGUAUUUGGCAGACAUAUUUUUUAUUAUAUCUAUAAAUUUAUAAUAUUUUGGAAAUUGUGAAUGAAGUUGCUAAUGGAAAUGAAAUAGGAGUUGAUAAUGAAAUCUUAUUAGUGUUUCAUUAAUGGAGUACAUCUCCUCUUUAUUCAGGGUUGAAUUUGGGUAGAAUGAAAUCUAACAGGCUUGCUCAGCCGGGUUUACUCGGUUGAGCGCCGGUCGCGCUCCCCGAGUUUGGGGCAUGACAAACUUGGUAUCAGAGCCUAAGGUUUUAAAGUGUCCUAGGAUGUCUCGGAGCCGUGUGUAGUAGAGUCCUUCUUAUCGGUGUGUUGUCGACCAAAUCUAUAAUGAGGAGGCUACUUGGACAUUUAGGAAUUUCACACUUCUUUGGUACUCCAGAUCGUGCGAUAGAGCUCAAGAUAGGAAGCUAAUUUCCUCGUCAUGUCUCAUUUGCCAUAUGAGUAACCCACGGGUUCGAGGCAGCGAGGAGGUAUUGAAAGAACAAGUUACUAAGGGAAGUGUCCUUGUCCCUAUUAAUGUUAUCGUGCCACCUGAUCAUGUGGUAAGAGCACCUAAGAAACGAAAGAGGGUUGUUUGUACCAAUAAGUAGGGAUGUUUGAUUUGUAAGAAACACCAUUUGGGUACGUGUUGAAUGACUCUUGAAAUAUGUUAUGGUUGUGGAAAGAGGGGGCACAAGAUGAACAAAUGCCCUAGGUUGGGUACACCCAUCACGGUAUGCCUGAGGUGCGGGAAGGAUCAUUUGGUGUCGUGUUGUAAGUAUGCUCAGGAGAGUGUUAGGAGUGGCAGGCUUGGGCAAUUUCAAAGGCCCACACAACAAACCAGUAUAGAGAUUAUUACUCCCGCCAUGAAGGCUUGGAGGAAGGAUAAGGGGAAUGUUUUUGAUGUAUGAAAAAGGGUAAAUAUUAGGUCGGUGGGGUGAGUCCGUUUAACAGACCUCAUCCUCGUUGUGUGAAAUGUAGGAGAUGUCAUUCAGGGGUAUGCCACUAUGGUACCAAUGUAUGUUAUGGAUGUAGAGUCGAGGGGAAUCAAUUAAUAUAUUGCCAUGUCAAUCUAAAAUCACCAUGUAAGUCACUAUUUAGUACAUCAUUAUGAACACCGCAUUAUUUUUCCUUAUUCUAUAUGUGCAUCCAUAAUGGAGAACCCUCAUAAACAUGGUCUUAACAAGACGUUGAAUCACAAAAUAUUGCAUGUACUUACUUUUUGAACGAGGCGCAUUAUUCGUGAAUCCACUCUAUCACAAAUUCGCUUAUUUACAACUUCUUGUGGAAUUGAGCUCUAUAAUUAUGUCCUUGAAUUGAGUUUAACUCUAGGACUAAUACUUCCCACUUGCUUUCCAAAAUUAUCAACAAGAGACUAUACCUGAUGAAUUUCUUAUAGAACCUUUUGAUUCAAAUGGUUAACAUGUUCUCACUUGUGCUUAUGGAUGCACAGUCAUAAAGUUUAUCUAUGUGGUAUCAAAUCCAAUGUAUAGCGGCCUAGUGUUGAGAUCCUUCUUAAGCCACUAUCUCUGGUAUACGUGGCUCCUAUGGUUGGAACAAUUACUUUACUCCUUUGUGUAUAUUUUCAUGAAUCCUUUUCACUGCCUAGUAGCAUGAGAGCAUAGCUCAACACCUAUCAUAUGUGUACCUGUCAAUUGAAAGGGGUCACUUAUCCGCAUAAAAGUUUCUAGGAAAUUUGAGAUUUUCACAAAUUCAUCGCAGGAAGAUCUUUUUGUUCGCCCAUCUCUGUAUGACUUUCAUGUCCACCUAGAUCAUGCCUCAGUAAGUAGCUCACUUUGUAACUAGUAUUGUCGUCUUCCAUGAAGUGGCCUGGUAUUGCAGCUUGAGAGUUAUUAUGGCAAAAACAUGGCUAUCUCAUAGAGAAGUGUUCAUUUUCUCUAACCAAUACAUGAUUUCAUCCCAACAUUAAGAUGUCCUAGCUAUGUGGUUUCACUCGUGAAAGAUUGAAAUUAGAUGCUUAGAGAUUAUGGCACAUAUCAUGAGUAUAUUGAUUUGAAAGACAAGUUUGUCGCAUCUCUAGUUCUCUCAUAUAGGAUCAACUAUCGGAAAGGGGUUAAGCUGUCAGAAUGAUAAUAAUCUCACAAGUGUUCAACUUCCUUUUCAUCCUCAUAGGUUUGUGGCAUAGAUUACUUGUGCUAGUUACUGUUAAUGCAAUUUCAUGCAUUUUGAAACCCAUAUCACAUUCGGGGUGCCAAAAUAUUCUUAUUUCGAGUUGAACUGAUUUUCCAUACACUCCAGGAGACAACUGGUGUCAUGUACUUGGCCAUUUCUUAUUAAGGCUUACUAUUGCCUGAACAAGGCACAUAUGGAAUGAAACAAUUGUUGUUGUCCUAUUCAUGACUCAUAGUCUUCCAAGAAUAACUGAUGCUAAUGUCUUUAUUCUUCCGAUUAUGCCUCCCAUAUGUCACAUGUCAAAGAAGAAGCAUCAUCCCGUAAUCAAAUAUAUAGGAUAGGAAAUUUUAUCGUCAUAUUCAUGCUAGCACAUCUUAGAGAAAUUGUUGGAGGUCGCCAAAGGUUUAUUUUGGGUGUUUGGCGUAGAGUUUUAGAGUUGAAGAAAGUGAACAGGUUAUUUUCAAUAUUUUCUCCAUGAGGAUGUUAUGUGAAUUUCUAAUAAGGUUAAAAUAUGUGCAGUCACAUUAGGCCUUAUGAAAUCCUGAAGGAAAUAUGCCAAACUAUGAGUAUGAUGUUUCCCUAUUAUUGUUCUCCAUGUACCUGGUGUUUCAUGUGACUGUGUCUAAGAAGGUAGUUGUAAUUCUUUGUCUAUCGUUCCGGUAAAAGCUAGUGGAGGUGAAGUAAAUGGAUAAUUAGCCUAUGAGAGGUACUUAAUUGUCAUCCUUAUUAGAUAAGUCUGGGAGUUGAGAUUGCCUCCGUGAAUGUGCUAUGGUGAAGUCUGUGAGUCGAGGAGCCCACCUCGAAGGCCGAAAUUGUCAAGGAAAGAAAAUGUUUCCACUUGGUUGUAUAGUUAAAUAAUUGGGGGUCGAAAGGCAUUAUCUAUGUGUUAUGAUUUAAAUAGGUGCAACUCAUGUCCAGGUAUCAAUUUUGAUAAUAUAAUGCUNNNNNNNNNNNNNNNNNNNNNNNNNNNNNNNNNNNNNNNNNNNNNNNNNNNNNNNNNNNNNNNNNNNNNGAUUGAGGUGUGCAGAAGAAGAGAUAAGUUAUGUUAUGUGUUUGGAGCGGACUCUACUUCUCAUUCGAGGACGAAUGAUCUUAAGUGGGGGAGAAUGUAGCACCCCGAAAACUUUUGAAGUACUUAAGCGCUAUUAAGGGAGUUAAUGGGUGCUGAUUAUAUUAUUUUAUAUACAGACGAGGGCUAUUAAUACGAUGGAUAUCAAUUGGAUAUGAUAAUAAGUGUACGAGGCAUUUUAUAAGUGAUGUGGGGUCUAAGGAGAGGCCUAAGUCUAAGCCAAGUUGGAAAAUUACAUGAUAGACUAAAGUUCCAAAUGAGUACGCACAAGACCAAACUUUGGAAGAGCAUAUCUACAUAUAUAUAAAGAUUUAUGUGAUGAACAACCUAUCGAAAAUGAAAUAUCUUCGAGUCUAGUUUCUAACACUUCAAAGCUAGCAGAAGGUGACACUACCGCGCCGCCCCAUGCGGCGCGCCUAUAGGGAUUUCCAGAACACUUCAACAUUUCGUUUCUAGGCACAUUUUUCACUACCGCGCGGCGCCUCGCGCGGCUGUGCAAAUUUCGAGAUUUUUACAACCCGACCCCAUUUUAAUAAAUAGCCUUUGGGGCUUAUUUUUGGGCGAUUAUCUGAUGAUUUUAUAGAGAAGUGGGAGUGUUUUAGAGAGAGGAAGAAGCUCAAGUGCUAUGUUCAUCAAGAUCUUGUCCAAGCUUUGAAAUCCAACAAGAAAAUCUCACAAGUUCUUCAUCUAAGAGGUAAGGUUUCAUACCCUAGUUUUCAAUUUCGAACUUGGGUAGAAGAUAUUUGAUUGAGAGUAUGAUUCUUGGGUGUAAGAGUAUUAUUUUUACAUGCAUGUACCAAUAAGAUUUCUGGAAAGAUUGUUAAGCUCAAAUAAGUAAAGAUUGGGUUGUGGAAUGAAGGAAAUCUUGUAGAAGAACCUUGUAGUCAAAUUUGCACACCAAAUGUUUGAUGAAAUGCUCAAAUGAGCUGAACCCAUGAAUAUCUUCCUAAUUUGUGUUCAAUAUUGUUGUGUCUCAAAAUAGAUUGGGAUUGCUAGGAUUUCCGAAAUAUUGUAGUAAUUUAAGGAAAGCUCAAAGCGAGGUAUGUUGUCUAAACUACUCUUUUAGAAACGAAUUCCAUGAUCUUCCCAUAAGUUUCAAGUAUUGUUGGCUCAAGUUCCUAAUUUCCAUGUUCUGAGUUGUUCCUAAUAAAUUCGAUUAUCCUGAGUAAGCAAAGUGUCGAAAUAUGUAUGAAUUCAAAAUGUAUUCCGAAUGUUCCUAUCACAUUAUGUUAUCCUUCGAAAAUGUGUUCAAGAAUUAUAUGUGUACUAAAAUGUUAUGGCUUUGAGUCGUGUUUCAAAUGAAAGCUAGUAUGCCAACUUGUGUGAGAAAAACUCGAUAUGCUUAAGACUCUUAAUUACUCAUAUGUGUACCUAAAGUCUUGAUUGGAAAUGUCCUAUUGUUGAUAAUCUAUAAAGAUGGUUGGAAGUGAAAUAUGUGAAUUGGGGAUAUAAAGUGUGGCCAACGUGCCAAGAAUGAAAGUUAUACUCGUGGCCAAUGGUGCCAAUAAAAUGAGAUGAUGUGAGAAAGAUUAUGAAAUGAGCUUUGAUUCAACUGUUCCAAAAUUGACUUCGAAAUAGAAUUUCCUAAAAGCUUAUGAACUCAAGUGAUACCCGUAUGUGGCUGUUUUAACUAAUGCUAUGCUUUGUAAGUAGUUUCGAUGUGUUUUGCAUUCUUACAUAUUCGUGAGUUGAAAUUGUGUAUUGCCCAUCUUNNNNNNNNNNNNNNNNNNNNNNNNNAUGGCCAAGAGAGCCAAUGAAAUAAUGAUGUUGAAAGUUGUUGAAAGUGCCAAUGAGGCUAUAUACGGUAUGAAAGGUUAUGAGGUAAUUGCAUUUGUAUUGUUGUUUCCUUUGUAAGAAAAUCAAUAAUAUUUUUGGGUGUAUCGAUAGUCACCGAGGAAGGGCAGGUUGAAAUAACCUAACCCCGAAACUACACGUGCCGGUAUGGAGUGAAUUGUGAUUAUUCCCCUUAUUUGAGAUGAGAUUGAUGUGAUAAAAUUAUUCCCCUUAAUUGGGAUGAGAUGAUUGAUAGAAAUGGAUGAUGUCAAUCCACACGACAUUGUGGUGAGAUGGCCUAGCCGAUCGGGUCGUGAUCUGACACCAUGUCGCACACAUGGUGGUGAUUAUGCUGGAAAUUGUAAUUGCAAUCGUGAUUGUGGUUGAUGUCUCGGAUGAGAUUGCCUAGCCGAUCGGGUCGUGAUCCGACUCCAUGCUAAAAGUACGGUGGUAUUGGUAUUGUAAAAGGUGAUAUUGUGAACAGUAGUAUAUCGGUGCUAAAGAUCUCCCAACCAAAAAUAAUAUUAUCUUCGUAUUUUGGAAAUUAUUAUGUUUUAACUUGGAAAUUGGAUAUCAUUGAUUGUUGAUUGUUGGUUCCAUGGUUUUCCCUUUUAUGUUGGCAUUCUAUUUUGAAAAAGGACAGUUAGCUUUACAUACUAGUACUAUUCCAUAUGUACUAACGUUCCUUUUUGCCGGGGGUGCUGCAUCUUCAAUGGAUGCAAGUGGUUCAUCAACAGGGCAGCUUUGGUCCUCAUUAGCAGUCACUCUUUAUUCAGCAAGUUUUGGUGAACCCUACUCUAUUUCGGGCUUUAUGUCAUCUAAUGUUGUAUUUUGUACUAUGAGGUAUAACCGGGGCCUUGUCCCCGGCACUUUCGUUUUUUACUUCUAUUGUACUUAGAGGCUCCGUAGACAGGUUGUGGGUGAUAGUCGAUGUUGGGAAUUGAAUUAGAAAUGUUGGUAUUUGGCAGAUAUAUUUUUUAUUAUAUCAAUAAACUUGUAAUAUUUUGGAAAUUAUAAAUGAAGCUGCUAAUGAAAAUGAAAUGGGAGUUGUUGAUGAAAUCUUAUUAGUGUUUUAUUAAUAGAUUACAUCUCCUCUUUAUUCAUGGUUGAAUUUUGUUAGAAUGAAAUCUAACAGGCUUGCUCAGCCGGGUUUACUCGGUUGAGCGCCGGUCGUGCUCCCCGAGUUUGGGGCAUGACAGAAUGUAUGUUUAAGUGGGGGAGAAUGUAACGACCCGACUGGUCAUUUUGAGCUCUAGCGCGUCGUUCAACGGCUUGAGACCUUGAGCAGCUUCACUUCAUGUUUUAUGACUUGUGCGUGUGGUCGGAAUUGAAUCCCGGGAAGUUCAGAGUUGAUUUGGGAAGAAAAUUCUAAAUUCUGAUGCUUUAAGAUGGAAGGAUUGAAUAUGGUUUGACUUUUGAGUAAUCGACCUCAGAAUCAGGAUUCGAAAGUUCCAAUAGGUUCGUAUGUUAAUUUCGGACGUGGUCGUAUGUUCGGGUUGAGUAUCGGGUGGUCCGGAAGCAUUUCGGCACUUAUUGUAGAAAGUUGGCAUUUUUGAAUGUUUUGGAAUUUCAUAAGUUUGGUUUGAAGUGGAUUUUGAUGUUAUCGAUGUCUGUUUGAGGUUUCGAGCCUAGGAAUAGGUUUGUAUUGUGAUUUGUGACUUGUGCGUAAAAUUUGAAGUCAUUCCAGAUUGAUUUGGUACGUUUCGGCACAAGACAUAUAAUUUGAAAAUUUAUAAGUUGAUUCGAGGAGAGAUUCGUAAUUUCAAUGUUAUUUGGCGUGUUUUGAGGGCUCGACUAAGUUUGUAUUGCAUUUUGGGACAUGUUGGUAUAUUUGGUUAAGGUCUCGAGGGCCUCGGGUGGAUUUCGGAUGGUUAACGGAUCGAUUUUGGACUAAGGAAAUGCUAGGAUAUUUCUAGUUGUUGGUGCGAUCGCUUCUGCGGAAGCUGGGUCGCAGAAGCGAAGAUUGCAUCGCAGAAGAGAGGAAGGAUGGAUGGGAAAGGCUUCGCAGAAGCGGAAAAUAGAACGCUUAUGCGGCUUCGUAGAAGCGACAGAGUGGUCGCAUAAGCAAGCUGGAGCGCAUAUGCAGCUAUUACUUCGCACCAGCGGUUGCGCAGAAGCGGAGAGGAGUCCGCAGGUGCGAUGGGACUGCUGACCAGUGGACUCCGCAGAUGCACAUUUGUGGUCACAAAAGCGACUUCGCAGAUGCAAAGAUUUUGUCCGCAGAAGCGGAAACUGGGCAGAACAUAAGGGAUCGAACUUGGUCAUUUCGUCAUUUUCAUUUGAGAUUUUUAGAGCACGGUUCUUGGGCGAUUUUUGAGGAGUUUUCAUUAUGAAACACUAGGUAAGUAAUUUCCCACUUGUUCUGAGCUAAAUGUAAGGUUUAUAUGUGGAUUUAAGGAGGAAAAUUUAGGAAAAUUGUGGGAUUUUUGUAGAAAACCUAGAAUUGGUAAUUUUGGAUUUUGACCACAAUUUUGGAAAUGAAAUUAGGAAUAAAUUAUAUAUUUGAGUUUGUUAUGUUAUGGGUAAAGUUUAUCUUCGAGAAAUUUCAGAAUCUGGGCCGGUGGGCUCGAGGGUUGAUUUUUAUUGACUUUUCGAACGAAGCAGAGAAUUGUUAUAAAUUGAUUAAUUAUGGGUAAUAGAGUAUAUAUUUAUGGAUUUGCAUAUUGUUUGACUAGUUUUGAAUUGACGGGCAUCGGUUUGAGGUGCUAUAGAGGCUUUGGAGCCGGCUAUAGAACUUCGGAGCGAGAUAAGUCUCCUGUCUAACCUUGUGAGGGGGAAACUACCUCUAGGUGAUAUUAAUUGUUAUGUGCAACUAGUUGUAGGUGCUACGUACGAGGUGACGAGAGUCUGUACGUAGCUAAAGCAUGUUUAUGUCCGGGUAGACUUAGAGCUUUAUCAUGUAAUAAUUAAAUUAUUUAAACUCGUUCUGCUGGCUUAAUUAAUUAAAGUUAUAACUGAAUUUGACUUAGAAAUAAAUAUAUAUAUAUAUAUAUAUAUAUAUAAUANNNNNNNNNNNNNNNNNNNNNNNNNGGUAAAGAUUAUAUUCGUUCUGUGCUCAUGUACUAUAUUGUAAACACGUGUCUCGUAAUUCGGUAACUUCCUUCCUUUCUUAUAGAGCGGGCCUAAUGCCUCGGCAGUAUAAUAGAUGCAUAUAUGGUUCAUGCCGCUCGACCCUCGGCAGUGUACACAUUAUUCUGGAUUAGGCUGAACGACCUCGGCAAAAUCGUGCAUUAUAUCGCUAAUAGUCCGAAUAUUCACGAGAUAAACCUUCCACUGAUGCCCGGCAUUUUUAUGGUAUUCCUUAUUUAUUUUGUAUUGAUACUUGGCAUUUCCUGAGCUAUUAAGGUAGAAUACAAGAUCGAGAAAUUUAUACUUUAAAAGAAAUAUUUGAAAGAUUAUGAAAUUUAUAGAUUUACCCCACUAUCGCUGUGCACUUCAUAUCUGAUAUGAAUUUUUAUAUUAUUUUAUUAGACCUCUAGUAAGUGUCGAUGUUGACCCCUCGUCACUACUUCUCUGGGGUUAGGCUAGAUACUUACUGGGUACAUAUUGAUUUACUACUCAUGGUGUACUUCUGCACUAAAUGUACAGGAUCUGACAGGUUCCUUUGGUGAUCAUCUUGGCGCAUAGGCGCAUCCGUCGAGGAGACUUUAUGUGAGUUGCAAUUCAGGCUAUGCAUCGCAGUCCACCGAUUCUCCAUUGUACUAUUUAUUUUAUCCUGUCUUAUUUACAUUCUGGACAGAUGUUGUAUUAUUAUUGUACUUCUUAGUAAAUGUACAUGCACUUGUGACACCGGGUUUUGGGGGUUCCUACGGGUUGUUCAUUAUUGUAGUUCAUGUAAAUAUUAUCGUUUACCCUGUAAAUUCUAUUUCAUACUAUUUAAUUAAUGAAAAUUAUGAUUUCAAAAAUACUAAAAUGAGUAAUUAGGUUGAUCAAUUACCGUUGGCUUUCCUGACGGCGGUGUUAGGUGCCAUCACGACCUUUAGUGGAUUUUGGGUCGUGACAUUAGCGCUUGGGCUGGAUCCGCCCCUCCGGAGUCUAACAUACUAGCAGUGAGCGCAGGUACCAUUGAGUGUUGAGUGCGAGUGUCAUGUGCGAGUGUCGAGUGAUUGAGAGUGCUGAGCGAUUGAGCGUGCUGAGUGAGGUUGAAUACUCUGAGAGCAUGAGUACAUGAGUUUAUCAUUGUGUUGCAUUACAAGUGACAUGCAUAUUUGACAUGUAGACAUAGAGAUGUAAUAUUCCUCAUGCUAGCUAUACUUGGCAUAUUUUAUCAGUAUUGAGCCUAAACUGUUGAACUUGAAAGCAUGUCUACAUUUUUGUACUGUGUACAACUGAUUAUGAGAUUUCUCUAAGUUAUUACUGUUCUUUUCCUUUCAUAUAUGUACUGUAAUUAUCUGGAUUUAGACUGUAACUAUAUGAGCCCGUCACUUCUUUCAGCCCAAGGUUAGUCCUGUUACUUAUUGAGUACAUUGGGUCAGUUGUACUCAUACUACACUCUCCACUUUGUGUGCAGAUCCAGGUAUAUCUAGACCUGGUGGUUGCUAGACUUGGAGCAUUACCUGCUUGGAGACUUUUGAGGUAGCUGCUUUGGUGUCCGCAGACCUCGACUCUCCUUAUUUUCAGUUUAUUUAGCAUUGUUCUAUCUUUCCAGACAGUUGUAUUAGAAGUUUUUGACUGUGUUGUCAUUUAGUAGCUCAUGUACUCGGUGACACCCGGAUCUUUGAGGAUUUUGUAUUUGAGUCGCAGUUAUUCCUUUCAGUUAUUUAUGAGAUUUUUACUAUUAAACUCAAUAUAUCAUAUUUUUAAAUUAAAAUACGUAGUUAUUUUAUGAUUGUCGGCUUGCCUAGUACUGUGAUAGGCGACAUCACGACAUGUUGAGAUUUGGGUCGUGACAUUUGCCUAGUUGGGAAUUCUGGUUCUGCAGCUGUCGAAUUUGCGAUGGAUAGGUUGCAAAUGAGACUAUAGUAUUUGCGAGGGGAAUCUCUCUUUGCGAAUCUAGGCGUGUGAAGCAGUUCUGCAUUUGUGAGUGUUUGUCUGCAAUUGUGAGCACGAGGUUGUUUGCUCUUGCGAUGAUUGGUUGUCUCUUUUGCGACUGUGUCCUCCGAUGGUUGGGUUAGCAUUUGCAAUUUUGGUGGUCGCAAUUGCGAGUUGCCGCUUCUGGGUGGACUUUGCUUCCGCAAAGUAUUUUGUCGCAAAUGCAACUUUGUCUUGGGUAGUUGGGUUUGCAAAUGCGGUACUUUGGUCGCAAUUGCGGUGGCCACUAUUGUGAACCUUUGGCCGCAAAUGAGAGAUCCACAACUGAUACUUAGAGGCCAUAUCAGGGUUUGAGUUCAUUUUGUCACAUAUGCAGAUUGGGAGCUCGGUUUGAGGCAAUGUUUGAGGGAGAUUUUCACAUUUAACUAUUGGGUAAGUGAAUAUCACUUAAUUUUGAUAUUAUAUCUUUAUUUCUUAUAAUAUUUUACACCAAAAUCAUAGAAAAUGAAAGAAUAUUUUGGGGAUUGUUUACUACAUUUUGAGAAAUGAAAAUUUAGAAUUUGAGAGUCGAAUUGGACUCAGUUUUGAAAACUAAUCACAUAUGGGCUUGUGGGGUUAUGGGUAGUCAGGAUUGUAACGACCCGACCAGUCGUUUCAAGUAUUACAGCCUCGUUCUCCCAUUUACUGCUCUAUUUGUGCCUUAUAGUUGUAUCAUGACCUAUCGGAUUAGUUAGUUCGGCUCUGGAGAGAUUUCGGAAUAACUUGAGAUACUUAGUAUCAUAAUGGAAAGCUUAAGUUGGAAAAGUCAACCGGAUAUUGAUUUAUAUGUAAAUGACCUCGGAUUUGAAUUCUGAUGUUUCCAGUAGCUCCGUAUGGUGAUUUUGGACUUGGGAGCAUGUCCUGAAAAUUAUUUGGUGGUCCGUAGUGGAAUUAGGCUUGAAAUGGCAAAAGUCAAAGUUUUUGAAAAGUUUGAUAGGGGGGUUGACUUUUUGAUAUCGGGGUCAGAAUCCGAUUCUAAAAAUUGGAAUAGCUUCUUUAUGUCAUUUAUGACUUGUUUGCAAAAUUUGAAGUCAUUCCGAAUUGAUUUGAUGUGUUUCGGCACAAGAUAUGGAAUUUGAAAGUUCAAAGUUCAUAGAUUUUGAUUUGAGGUGCGAUUCGUCGUUUUGAUGUUGUUAGGUGUGAUUUGAGGCCUCGAAUAGGUCCGUAUUAUGUUAUGGGACUUGUCGGUAUGUUCGGAAGGGGUCCCGAGGGGCUCGGGUGUGUUUCAGAUUGAUUUCAGAUCUUUUUUUUUCUUCAUGUUGUUAUUGCUGGUUGCUGCUGGUUCUGGUGAGACCGCACCUGCGGCUGGUUUGUGCAGGUGCGAUGGUCGCAGAAGCGACAAUGCAGUCGUAGAAGAGGGAUGGCAUCUGGAUGAGGAGGCCCGCAGGAGCAGAGAAAAGGGCACAGGUACGGAUGCGCAGGUGCGUCGAGUGGAAGCGCAGGUGCGAGGAUCUUCGCAGAUGCGGAGUUUAAUACCGCAGGUGCGGGGGUUGCUAGGCAAGGCUAUUAUUCACAGAAGCAAAGUUUUUCCGCAAAAGCGAAGGUCGCAGAUGCGACAUUUUUACCGCAUAUGCGAAAGUGCUGGGCAGAAUGUUAAAUACAAGGGUUCGCGAUUUUGGCUUCAUUUUAACAUUUCCAAGCUCGGAUUGAGGAGAUUUUUGGAGCAAUUUUCAUCACAGGAAUUGGGGUUAAGUGUUCUACACUUGAUUUUGAUCUUAUUCCAUGAAUCUAUCUUCAUUUUUGGCUAUUGGCUGAUGAAUUUUAAAGAGAAAUUAGGGGUUUUAGCCUAAAGUUUCAUAAUGUGAAUUUUUGAGUUUUGAAUAUCGAAUUGGAGUCAGAUUUGAGUGAAACUAGUAUGGUUGAACCCGUAAUUGAAUGGGGUGUCGGAUUUUGUGAUUUUUAUCGGGUUCUGAGGCGUGGGCACGAGUGUGACUUUUGGCCGGAUUUGGGUUUUGAUUAAGGAUUCGAUCUUUAUCCUUUGGAAUUGUUUCCUUGGGCUUUAUUUGAUGUAUUUGAGUUGCUUUUGGCUAGUUUUGAGCCUUUCAGAGGUCGGUACACGCGAGAUGGAAUUUUUGGAGCAUCGUUUAUCUUACUCGACAUUGGAUUUUUCUUGUUCGAGGUAAGUAACUCUUCUAAUAUUGGAGCUGAGAGUAUGAACCCUGAAUAUACGUGUUAUGUGUUUGGUGUUGAGGUGACACACAUGCUAGGUGACGGGCGUGUGGGCAUGCACCGUGUGAGUCGUGACUCCGUUAUUCCUGUGGUACUGUGAAGCUACCUGAAUUUGUCUGAAAUCAUGAAAUCUCUACGUACUAGAGUUACCGAAAUGUGAUUCAUGCUAUAAACUAUGUUUAGGAUACAUGCUCAUCCUGUUGGGACCCACCGAGAUCAUUUCUGCUGUUGAGUUAUCUGCUUUCAUUGCAUUACAUACUCAGUCAUACGCAUUCAUAUGCAUAUCAUAUCUCUGUCUCUACUGUUAUUUAUUGAUGCAUCAUAUCAUUAUUUUCGGGCUAGUAUCAUGACACUGUGAGCCCGUGAGAGAGAGACCGGAGAGAUUGAUGACUGAGUGAGGCUGAGUGCCUGAUUAUGAGUGACAUUUAUGGGAUAGGACUGCACGCCGCAGUGGUUAUACUAAUUUAUGAUAGCGCUUGGGCUGAAGGAGCCCCUCCGGAGUCUGCACACACCCCAAGUGAGCGUGAUUGAUAUUAUUGAGGGAUGGAUCUUCCCUAGAUAUGGAUCUUGUCCGAAGCAUUAUAUACCUAGAGAUGGAUCUUCUCCACGGGCUGGAUUGGCCCUACUCGGUACUGAGUGACUGAUGAUCAGUUGGUGUAUAUAUUCCGGGAUGGAUCUUCCCUGGGCCAGAUUGUCCAUAUACAGUACCGAGUGAUUGAGCAUGAUGAGUGGAAUGUAUGAGAAAGUGAGAUUGAGUACUCUGAGAGUGUAAGUACAUGAGUUCAUCUUUGAGAUACAUUGCAUUGACAUACAUGCCAUACAUGCAUAGAGAUGUAUUUUUCUCAUGCUGUACGGUAUCACGUCAUUCAUGACUUCUCACAUGUGUUGACACAUGGGCAUAGUGAUGCAUUGUUUUACCCUGGCUAUCUGGAAAGAAAAUGAAACAUCUUAUUUAUUAUUGAAAGGAGUUUUGGGAAAAUUACUAUUUUCAAACUUACUCAUAAUUUGGCAACUUCGGUAAACGAUUUGGGUUUUCACUUAUAUACUUGAAAGGCAGAACUAUUUUCAGAAAUCAUGAUUAAGCUAGGCAUUUUAUCUUUGAGUUAUUUCUUUUAUUACUUGCGUUAUGUUGUUAUGAACUAUUGUUGGUUACUGGAGUUGGACUCUGACCUUGGUACAAGCUCGCCACUACUUUCAACCUAAGGUUAGGUUUGUUACUUAUUGAGUACAUGGGGUCGGUUGUACUCAUACUACACUUCUGCACCUUGCGUGAAGUUGCUGUGUUCGUUGGGAGCUGGAUCUGAAGAUGUACCUGCGUUCCUGUUGUAGCUGCCUCUUGUUCAUGGUAGCCUUAGAUUCAUAAAACUCUGUUUAUGUAAUUUUCAAACAGACGACGUAUUUACUUCAUACCAGCUUUGUAAACUCUAUUCUUAGAAGCUCAUGAUUUGUACAACCAGUAUUUGGGGAAAUAUAUAAGAUUCAGAUAUUUUUUUACUUAAUUGCUUUAUUAAUUAUUAUUGGAAUUGUUUAGUGGUUAACUGGCUUACCUAGCAGGUUGGGUUAGGUGCCAUCACGACUAGUUGGAUUUUGGGUCGUGACAAGGAUCUACCCCUUGACUCGGGUUUUAACCUUAUGGGCCCAAGGUUGACUAUUGUUGACUUUUUGGGAAUUGGGUAAAGAUUUAAACUUUAUUAAUUGGAAUUGAUUCCUAUUGCGUGAUUUGAUAUGAUUGAGUUAUUGGGCUAGAUUUGGGCUGGACGGAGGUGAUUUUUAGAGAAAGGCUAUUUUUGAGGUUUGAUUUGGGCUUAUUGAGGUAAGUGUCUUGCGUAGCUUUGGUUAAGGGAUUUUUUUCCUAUUAAUUGAUGUUGUUUGCUGCAUGCGAGGGUGAUGUAUAUAUGAGGUGACGAGCGUAUAUAUAUGUUCCAUUUGUAUUCAUACUCGGGGUAGAUUCUAUCUUACUCUAUUCUUUAUUUGGUUGUGUAUUUUAUUUGAUUCCAUAUAUUAUUUAAUUAAUCGACGAUGUGAGUAUAAUAAACCAUGCUAGAGGAAUGUUGACGCUAUUGGUACCUUAUGUAGAACAUGAUGAGCAAGUCUUGAGACAUAUACUAUAUUUUUCUCGAGAUAGAUACACAUAGGUUAUGAACACACAUUCAGAUUUGUUCUUGUAAUGUGACUUCAUUGAGAUGUGUGCACUCCGUGAUACAUAUAUAAUCCUUUGUAUAACUACUUGAACUUGGUUGGUAUAAUUGAUUUUGUCAUAGUCAUGCUUUAUCCACAUUUUUAUUAUUAUUAUGUCCUUGUGCGCUUUAUAGAUGAGUUAUGAGGAUAUGCCGCAUGAUGAUUGUUGCACCCUAUUUUGCACAGGUUAAAAUAAAAUACAACUUGUGGUUCCUCUGAAGUUGAUGAAAGAAGAGUCACCACCUAAUAUUUUGAGGUACACUAGGGUACCUAUAAGUCUUUAAAGAUUAUUAUCUUAAUGGUCUACUAACCAGUGAGAUCCAGGUAAGAGUUCUUGUUACACUAAGGGGAAGGUAUUAGGCAUCCCUUAAAAUCUACCUGAGAUAGCUCCUUAAACAUAGGCUAGGUGCGGGGAAGGAAAUGCCUAUAUCCUAGUUGAUUAAUUGAUUAAAAUUUCUAAAAUGGUUUUUUAUGAAAAGCCUUGUAUGAGUAAAAAUUAUAUUAAUUCUAGUUUGAAAGCACAUCUUUUAUUUUGAGAAAAAGAAAUUAUAUUCCCAUUAGAAAUGGUAAGAUUUGUUUAAAAUUCUUAAUAAAAUGAGUGGUUAUUUCAAGAAAAUGUGUCUACAUAUUUAUUAAAACUGGUAUUCCUGAUUUGUUUAUUUGGAGGCUGUUUUACUAAAGACCAGUAUAUUUUCCAAAAGGUCUGCUUAAUCUUGGUUCUUCUAAAAAUCAGUGAUGUAUGAUUGCCCUUUUCUGUGUUAGAACAGUUCAGUUGCCUAUGAUCCAUUUUGAAAAUAUUUCAAAGGAGUUGUUUCUAUUUAAACUCGUUCAAGUUCUGUUGAUGCAUAAAACCAAACAAAACACAUUGGAAAAGAUAUGCAAGUGAAAGAAAGAUUAGUUGCCAAAAUAGUUAGUUUCAAAAUGUUUAUAUUUCAAAAGUGUUAGGGUUGUUAAAGUAAUUAAUUCUUGAAGCCACAAUUACUUUUUACCUAUUAGAUUCUGAUUUGCCUAAAAUCUACCUAAACGAUCAAGACAUCAAUGAAUUUCCAAUAUACACAGAAAGAAAGACAGUAAGAAUCAACAAUUAUUUUUAUAUAAAGAGAAGGAAGGCUAGACUCUCAUUAUUGGGCUGAAAGUUGGUCAGACCCAACUAAAAUUCUAAGUGGCAACAAAGCUUUGGUAGAUAGCAAGGAGACAACCCAAUUCUCGGACUUGGGCCUGAGUUCUCAAUGAUCUCAGCAUGCCCAGUGAUCCAUGCGAAGAAAAGAAAAGGAAAUGAUUAUAGCAUAUAAAAAUAGAAGGUAAAGUAAGAUAUACAUAUGAUGAAUAAGAACAUAAUCUAUAAGAAUAUAGCAAAGCCAAAUUUCAUUUAUGUUAAUCCCAUGAAGAUUAGUCAAGGUCAAUGACUAUGGGCUUAGGGUGAACCAUAUGUAUUUAUAAGGCCCCCUUAUGGACCCCAGACAAUUUAGAGUUCACGGGGGUCUCAUGGACCCGAGCAGUGGUUGUGCUAGGGAGGGGUCCCUUAAUCACAAAGUCAAGCUCACAUUAAAAUUCCCUUAAGCAUUUAACCUCACUCUUCUUCAGAGGUUUUAGCACAAACAAAAUAUCAACAUGGCAUUUCAACCAAACAAGUACCUAGGCAGCCUCACACAACCAAUACAAAAUACACUAGCAGAAGUACAUACGGUCUCAUAACACACUCCGAGAAUUCAAUUACACAGAAGCACCAAUUGACUCAAAGCAAAUAACCAUUCUAGGGAGUGAAGUCAUUACUGGGGUGCAAAGUCAUGAAUAAUCAAGGAUUAACACAUACUUGAGCUCUAAAACCAUAAUCAUUAUCAGACAUAGGUUACACAAGUUUCCAAAAUUUUAAUUGUUUUAAAGGCUUAAAGGUUGAUUCUGAAUCAUUCCAUGUGGCACAUCAUUUACAAAAUACUCAUAAGAGUCACAUAUACAAUCAGGAAAGGGUCAAAAAGAACAAACGAUUGACCAUAUACCCCUGUAAGCAAGCUAUUUACAAUUUCAUCUUCAGAGAAGUCACACUGAGUAGCUUAAGGCAUCAGUAAUUGGUAACGAUAAACAUAUGCACCCAUUUACUAACUUUACUAAAGGUCCAAUACUUCAUAGAGAACCUAUAAGAUAGAGUUCCCUUUAGGUAGGUUUAAGUUAUUAAAGUAAGUGACAAAAUACCACAGCAGUCGUAGAACAGAACAAGCACAUAGUUGAGAUUUUCAUAUCACACUAAGAACCUAUGCUAAAAUCAUACUCAAUAUCAGUCUUAAAGGAGUUAUUACUAACAGUAAAAAUACAUGAGAGCAUUAAGCAUUAGUAGAAUGGUCAAAAUCCAGUCUCACCAUUUAGAUCCUAUAGGCAUGACAUAUAGACAUGGUAAUGCACAUUGAGUAUACUCAUUCCAGUUAUCAGAUCCAGCAGUAUAUUCAAAUAUGGCAGAAAGAUCUUAUGGACAGUUUUCAAACACCACAUAGGCAUGAAAUAACAAGAAUGCUCAUUUAUACCUAGUUUAGGCAAAGUGGAUAUGUGAUAUGAAAGUUAACAUCUAUUUAUUCAAGCUACAAUGAUAAACUAACACAUAGAUCACCUUACUUUAACUGAAAAUCACAAACAUAAUACUUAUGAACAUGACUGUCAGUGGGAAUCACUCGACUAACCAGUCAACACAGUAUGAUGAGAGUCACAACAUGGUGCUAUGAGGAUCAUUCAAUUAGCCAAUCACACGACCAGCAUGGUAAGAAUGUUUUCAAUAACAUGACAAUAUAGGCAUAAAAAUCCUCCAGUUGACUAAACAAGGUGACAUGAAGGUUCAUAGAUAUCAUUCCAUUAAUAUGAUCAUACAAAAUAUGGGAAUCUAUAAGUGUCACCUAAUUAACAGAGCCAUAGUAGGGAUCAAAUAGGCUGCCAACAUAGAGAAUAACAUAGAAAGUUAACAGGACGAGGAUCACAAUAACAUUACUCUGAUUCAUUAAUAAAUAAACUAAUGAUAGUUUCAGUAUAAAAUAGACCUCAAUAGUCACUUCUUUGGAGCCUCAAACUAGGUGGUCCUCUUUAGCCAUUUAGGAACCACAAUUCACACUCAAUUUGAAGUAAUCAAACUCAAGCAAAAAAGAAAGAAAGAAAGGAAAUUAGAAAAGAAUUUUAGAGUAUUUUAGCAGCUAACAUUUACUAAGUUUCUUAGGUAGUUCGUCUUGUUCGGUGAAAGCAUUGAAGCUCCUAUUUAUAUUGGCCAUCGGAGCCUUAGGGUUCGUUUGAAUUCAAAGAGAUAGUGGGUUAUGGCAAUUGAACGCUGAUGAUAGCAAAGGGGAAAAAUAGAAGGAAAACAGAUGGGAGAUUAGAGUGACUUUUACCUUAGCAUGAAAUGGCGAAGGAAAUCGGCCGUUGGAGACCAAACCAUCGGUCAAAGCCCAUGUCUAGAGGUCACUGUGUUUGACCUCUAGACCAAGAAUCAUGAUAAUGGGAUUAAUAUCUUCAUGAAUCUACAGCUCUAUGCAUAGAUUUGGAUGGGAAUAGGAGGAAAUGAUUAUAUUCUCACCCUUUCACGUACAUGUCUAGGGUUUGGGGGUUUGAGAUUAAAAAUCAGAUGAGAAAAAAAGGAUAGGAUCGGCGAGAUUCUCGGUUGGAAGAGAGAUAGGGUGAAUUUUAGUCGAUUUUUAGUGACCUUGCACCAUUUUGUGCAAGGUUUCAGUGAUUGAUGGGUCUAAGAAGAUGAGAGAAAUGAGAGGGGAAAAGGAAAUAGAGGCGGCCGAUCUUUGGAUGAAAUGAUUAGGGUUUGGGGGUUGGUCUCUUAGUUAAAACGAGAGACGGGAGGGGAAGCCCUAG